Molecule: ribosomal RNA, 253 nt
Filed under: uncultured bacterium
Lineage: Bacteria
Description: partial 16S ribosomal RNA
Rfam family: Bacterial small subunit ribosomal RNA
Source: RNAcentral
GACGUAGGGCGCGAGCGUUGUCCGGAUUUAUUGGGCGUAAAGAGCUCGUAGGCGGCUUGUCGCGUCGACUGUGAAAACCCGCGGCUCAACUGCGGGCCUGCAGCCGAUACGGGCAGGCUAGAGUUCGGUAGGGGAGACUGGAAUUCCUGGUGUAGCGGUGAAAUGCGCAGAUAUCAGGAGGAACACCGGUGGCGAAGGCGGAUCUCUGGGCCUUGCCUGACGCUGAGGCGCGAAAGCUAGGGGAGCGAACAGG